AGAGUUUGAUCAUGGCUCAGAUUGAACGCUGGCGGCAGGCCUAACACAUGCAAGUCGAGCGGUAGCACAGAGAGCUUGCUCUCGGGUGACGAGCGGCGGACGGGUGAGUAAUGUCUGGGAAACUGCCUGAUGGAGGGGGAUAACUACUGGAAACGGUAGCUAAUACCGCAUAACGUCGCAAGACCAAAGUGGGGGACCUUCGGGCCUCAUGCCAUCAGAUGUGCCCAGAUGGGAUUAGCUAGUAGGUGGGGUAACGGCUCACCUAGGCGACGAUCCCUAGCUGGUCUGAGAGGAUGACCAGCCACACUGGAACUGAGACACGGUCCAGACUCCUACGGGAGGCAGCAGUGGGGAAUAUUGCACAAUGGGCGCAAGCCUGAUGCAGCCAUGCCGCGUGUGUGAAGAAGGCCUUCGGGUUGUAAAGCACUUUCAGCGGGGAGGAAGGCGNCGAUUGACGUUACCCGCAGAAGAAGCACCGGCUAACUCCGUGCCAGCAGCCGCGGUAAUACGGAGGGUGCAAGCGUUAAUCGGAAUUACUGGGCGUAAAGCGCACGCAGGCGGUCUGUCAAGUCGGAUGUGAAAUCCCCGGGCUCAACCUGGGAACUGCAUUCGAAACUGGCAGGCUAGAGUCUUGUAGAGGGGGGUAGAAUUCCAGGUGUAGCGGUGAAAUGCGUAGAGAUCUGGAGGAAUACCGGUGGCGAAGGCGGCCCCCUGGACAAAGACUGACGCUCAGGUGCGAAAGCGUGGGGAGCAAACAGGAUUAGAUACCCUGGUAGUCCACGCCGUAAACGAUGUCGAUUUGGAGGUUGUGCCCUUGAGGCGUGGCUUCCGGAGCUAACGCGUUAAAUCGACCGCCUGGGGAGUACGGCCGCAAGGUUAAAACUCAAAUGAAUUGACGGGGGCCCGCACAAGCGGUGGAGCAUGUGGUUUAAUUCGAUGCAACGCGAAGAACCUUACCUGGUCUUGACAUCCACAGAACUUNNNNNNNNNNNNNNNNNNNNNNUUGGUGCCUUCGGGAACUGUGAGACAGGUGCUGCAUGGCUGUCGUCAGCUCGUGUUGUGAAAUGUUGGGUUAAGUCCCGCAACGAGCGCAACCCUUAUCCUUUGUUGCCAGCGGUCCGGCCGGGAACUCAAAGGAGACUGCCAGUGAUAAACUGGAGGAAGGUGGGGAUGACGUCAAGUCAUCAUGGCCCUUACGACCAGGGCUACACACGUGCUACAAUGGCAUAUACAAAGAGAAGCGACCUCGCGAGAGCAAGCGGACCUCAUAAAGUAUGUCGUAGUCCGGAUUGGAGUCUGCAACUCGACUCCAUGAAGUCGGAAUCGCUAGUAAUCGUAGAUCAGAAUGCUACGGUGAAUACGUUCCCGGGCCUUGUACACACCGCCCGUCACACCAUGGGAGUGGGUUGCAAAAGAAGUAGGUAGCUUAACCUUCGGGAGGGCGCUUACCACUUUGUGAUUCAUGACUGGGGUGAAGUCGUAACAAGGUAACCGUAGGGGAACCUGCGGUUGGAUCACCU
This 1520-nucleotide ribosomal RNA is filed under the name Klebsiella pneumoniae. RNAcentral's name for it is "bacterial SSU rRNA". It matches the Rfam family "Bacterial small subunit ribosomal RNA". Lineage: Bacteria; Pseudomonadati; Pseudomonadota; Gammaproteobacteria; Enterobacterales; Enterobacteriaceae. The record is from RNAcentral.